This 422-nucleotide ribosomal RNA is filed under the name Verrucomicrobiota bacterium. RNAcentral describes it as "Verrucomicrobia bacterium partial 16S ribosomal RNA". It matches the Rfam family "Bacterial small subunit ribosomal RNA", at positions 355 to 776 of the family's 1533-position model. Lineage: Bacteria; Pseudomonadati; Verrucomicrobiota. The record is from RNAcentral.
UGGGGAAUUUUGCACAAUGGGCGCAAGCCUGAUGCAGCGACGCCGCGUGAGGGAUGAAGGCCUUCGGGUUGUAAACCUUUUUCGCUCAUGGUCAAGCCGCAGCUUUGGGUUGUGGUGAGGGUAGUGGGUAAAGAAGCGCCGGCUAACUACGUGCCAGCAGCCGCGGUAAUACGUAGGGCGCGAGCGUUGUCCGGAAUUAUUGGGCGUAAAGGGCUUGUAGGCGGUUGGCCGCGUCUGCCGUGAAAUCCUCUGGCUUAACUGGGGGCGUGCGGUGGGUACGGGUUGACUUGAGUGCGGUAGGGGAGACUGGAAUUCCUGGUGUAGCGGUGGAAUGCGCAGAUAUCAGGAGGAACACCGGUGGCGAACGCGGGUCUCUGGGCCGUUACUGACGCUGAGGAGCGAAAGCGUGGGGAGCGAACAGG